This 253-nucleotide ribosomal RNA is filed under the name uncultured bacterium. RNAcentral describes it as "partial 16S ribosomal RNA". It matches the Rfam family "Bacterial small subunit ribosomal RNA", at positions 524 to 776 of the family's 1533-position model. The record is from RNAcentral.
UACGGGGGGGGCAAGCGUUGUUCGGAAUUACUGGGCGUAAAGGGCUCGUAGGCGGCCAACUAAGUCAGACGUGAAAUCCCCAGGCUCAACCUGGGAACUGCGUCUGAUACUGGAUGGCUUGAAUUCGGGAGAGGGAUGCAGAAUUCCAGGUGUAGCGGUGAAAUGCGUAGAUAUCUGGAGGAAUACCGGUGGCGAAGGCGGCAGCCUGGACCGACAUUGACGCUGAGGAGCGAAAGCCAGGGGAGCAAACGGG